AUGAACGCUGUCGACAUGGAGACAACGGGCACCACUGACUCAAGCGUCGGCCAUGGAGCAGGCGACGGCCCGAGCGUCCUCCUUCUCCCGCUCCCGGGGGCGCAGGGCCACACAAACCCGAUGCUCCAGUUCAGCCGCCGCCUCGCAUACCACGGCCUCCGCCCCACCCUCGUCGUCACCCGGUACGUGCUCUCCACCACCUCGCACCCUGUCGCGCCGUUCCGCAUGGCCGUAAUCUCGGACGGCUUCGAUGCUGGUGGCAUGGCGCUGUGCCCCGACUACGCGGAGUACUUCCCACGACUGGAGGCCGUCGGGUCCGAGACUCUGCGGGAGCUCCUUCUGUCCGAGGCGCGCGCUGGGCGGCCAGUGCGCGUGCUGGUUUACGACCCUCAUCUUGCCUGGGCGCUGCGGGUGGCGCGGGCGGCCGGCGUGGCCACCGCGGCCUUCUUCUCCCAGCCGUGUGCUGUGGACAUCGUGUAUGGGGAGCUCUGGGCGGGGCGGCUGGCGCUGCCGGUGACAGACGGGCGAGCACUGCUCGCGAGAGAAGCACUGGGCGUGGAGCUUGGGCCGGAGGACAUGCCGCCAUUCGCGGCUGUGCCGGAGUUGCAACCGGUGCUCACCAAGACGUCGAUUGGGCAGUUCGACGGUCUGGAGGACGCCGACGACGUGCUCCUCAACUCUUUCCGCGACAUCGCGCCAAAGGAGGCCGAGUACAUGGAGUUAACAUGGAGAGCAAAGAUGAUUGGUCCAACUAUGCCAUCGUACUUUCUUGAUGAUAAUCGCCUACCAUCCAACAAGUCUUACGGUUUCAACUUGUUCAGUGAUGGUGUAUCGUGUAUGGAUUGGUUAGACAAGCAUAGCAUGUCCUCCGUUGUGCUUGUAUGCUAUGGCACCGUCUCUAACUACGAUGCAACCCUGUUGGAGGAGCUUGGCAGUGGACUAUGCAAUUCUGGCAAACCUUUUCUUCGGGUUGUCAGAUCCAACGAGGCACACAAGUUAUCGGAAGAACUCAAGGAGAAAUGUGAGAACAAUGGAUUAAUUGUUGCAUGGUUCCACCAACUUCAAGUUUUGCACACAAGGCUAUCGUUGUUAGUGGUGUUCCUCUUGUGGGAAUCCCACAUUGGGCAGACAAACCCACCAUCUCAAAGUAUGUAG
RNAcentral lists this ribosomal RNA (1155 nucleotides) under Triticum aestivum (bread wheat). RNAcentral's name for it is "partial small subunit ribosomal RNA". Lineage: Eukaryota; Viridiplantae; Streptophyta; Magnoliopsida; Poales; Poaceae. The record is from RNAcentral.